Molecule: ribosomal RNA, 299 nt
Filed under: Salmonella enterica subsp. enterica
Lineage: Bacteria; Pseudomonadati; Pseudomonadota; Gammaproteobacteria; Enterobacterales; Enterobacteriaceae
Description: partial 23S ribosomal RNA
Rfam family: Bacterial large subunit ribosomal RNA
Source: RNAcentral
UAGUGAACCAGUACCGUGAGGGAAAGGCGAAAAGAACCCCGGCGAGGGGAGUGAAAAAGAACCUGAAACCGUGUACGUACAAGCAGUGGGAGCCCCACCACUAAGCCAGUGGUGAACUCCACAUACGCAUCCUUUGCUGAGGAUACGGUUAACGGAGCGCAAGCGACGUUCAACCUCAAAAGAAGCAGAGGGGGCUUAGUGGUGGGGUGACUGCGUACCUUUUGUAUAAUGGGUCAGCGACUUAUAUUCUGUAGCAAGGUUAACCGUAUAGGGGAGCCGGAGGGAAACCGAGUCUUAAC